RNAcentral lists this transfer RNA (72 nucleotides) under Ornithorhynchus anatinus (platypus). It matches the Rfam family "tRNA". Rfam says of the family: Transfer RNA (tRNA) molecules are approximately 80 nucleotides in length. Their secondary structure includes four short double-helical elements and three loops (D, anti-codon, and T loops). The record is from Rfam by way of RNAcentral. Lineage: Eukaryota; Metazoa; Chordata; Mammalia; Monotremata; Ornithorhynchidae.
AGCAGCGUGGCUCAGUGGCAAGAGCCCGGGCUUGGGAGUCAGAGGUCAUGGGUUCGAAUCCUGGCUCUGCUA